Molecule: ribosomal RNA, 425 nt
Filed under: uncultured bacterium
Lineage: Bacteria
Description: bacterial SSU rRNA
Rfam family: Bacterial small subunit ribosomal RNA
Source: RNAcentral
GUGGGGAAUCUUAGACAAUGGGCGCAAGCCUGAUCUAGCCAUGCCGCGUGAGCGAUGAAGGCCUUAGGGUUGUAAAGCUCUUUCGUGGGGGAAGAUAAUGACUGUACCCCAAGAAGAAGCCCCGGCUAACUCCGUGCCAGCAGCCGCGGUAAUACGGAGGGGGCUAGCGUUGUUCGGAAUUACUGGGCGUAAAGCGCACGUAGGCGGACUGGAAAGUCAGGGGUGAAAUCCCGGGGCUCAACCCCGGAACUGCCUUUGAAACUCCCAGUCUUGAGUUCGAGAGAGGUGAGUGGAAUUCCGAGUGUAGAGGUGAAAUUCGUAGAUAUUCGGAGGAACACCAGUGGCGAAGGCGGCUCACUGGCUCGAUACUGACGCUGAGGUGCGAAAGCGUGGGGAGCAAACAGGAUUAGAAACCCGAGUAGUCC